CUGCCCAAUGAGGAAUUAAAUGGCCGCAGUAUUUUGACUGUGCAAAGGUAGCAUAAUUAUUAGUUUUUUAAUUGAAAGCUUGUAUGAAGGGUUGGACGAGAUAAAAUCUGUCUUUAUUUAAAUUACAAUAGAAUUUAACUUUUAAGUCAAAAGGCUUAAAUGUAUAUAAAAGACGAGAAGACCCUAUAGAUCUUUAUUUAAUUAAUAUUUUGAUAAUUUAAGAUUAUUUUAGUUUAAAGUUUUAAUUAAAUUUUAUUGGGGUAAUAUAGAGAUUAAAUAAAUUCUUUUUAUUUAUUACAUUGAUUUAUGAAUAUAUGAUCCAAUAUUAUUGAUUAUAAGAUUAAGUUACCUUAGGGAUAACAGCGUAAUUUUUUUGGAGAGCUCAUAUCGAUAAAAAAGUUUGCGACCUCGAUGUUGGAUUAAAAAUUAGCUUGGGUGCAGAAGCUCAAGAUUUUGGUCUGUUCGACCAUUAAAUUUUUACAUGAUCUGAGUUCAGACCGGCGUAAGCCAGGUCGGUUUCUAUCUUUAUUUAUCUAAAAUAUUUUAGUACGAAAGGACCAAAUAUUUAAUAUAAUUAUAUUUCUUUUUUGAAUAAUAUU
RNAcentral lists this ribosomal RNA (599 nucleotides) under Cicindela lusitanica. Its description in RNAcentral is "partial 16S ribosomal RNA". It matches the Rfam family "Bacterial large subunit ribosomal RNA", at positions 1859 to 2733 of the family's 2925-position model. The record is from RNAcentral. Lineage: Eukaryota; Metazoa; Arthropoda; Insecta; Coleoptera; Carabidae.